This 493-nucleotide ribosomal RNA is filed under the name uncultured bacterium. Its description in RNAcentral is "partial 16S ribosomal RNA". It matches the Rfam family "Bacterial small subunit ribosomal RNA", at positions 28 to 507 of the family's 1533-position model. The record is from RNAcentral.
GACGAACGCUGGCGGCGCGCUUAACACAUGCAAGUCGAACGGAAAGGCCUGCUUUCCCUUGUGGAUUGCGGGUACUCGAGUGGCGAACGGGUGAGUAACACGUGAGUGAUCUGCCCCCAACUUGGGUAUAAGCCUGGGAAACUGGGUCUAAUUCCCGAUAGGACUGCAGGGUGGUGCCUGUGGUGGAAAACGAUUUUCUAGUGGUUGGGGAUGAGCUCGCGGCCUAUCAGCUUGUUGGUGGGGUAAUGGCCUACCAAGGCGGCGACGGGUAGCCGGCCUGGGGGGGGGACGGCCACAUUGGGACUGAGAUACGGCCCAGACUCCUACGGGAGGCAGCAGUGGGGAAUAUUGCACAAUGGGCGGAAGCCUGAUGCAGCGACGCCGCGUGGGGGAUGACGGCCUUCGGGUUGUAAACUACUUUCGACCGCGAGGAAGCCACCUGGUUGGAAGGGUGGUGACGGUAGUGGUAGAAGAAGCACCGGCUAACUACGUG